Molecule: long non-coding RNA, 857 nt
Organism: Eptesicus fuscus (big brown bat)
Lineage: Eukaryota; Metazoa; Chordata; Mammalia; Chiroptera; Vespertilionidae
Exons: 4
Source: RefSeq, a predicted model, not a curated record
GCCCCGGCCCCGCGUACCCCGCCGCUUUGUCUGCACCCGCCGCGACCCGGGGACCCGAGCCCGGACCCCGCGCCCGCGGCCCCGGGCCCGGAGGAAGGCGCCAAGGACCCCGCGGGGGCCUGCGCUCGGGCUGCUCGGCAUUUCAGUUCCGCAUUUCAGUCCCAGAAUGUGCGAGUCACACCCCACGCCCCAUCCAGCCGGGACCCCAGCCGGUUAAUCUGCGGCUCGGCCUCCCCGUCCCUCUUCUCCCCGCGCCUGCCCUCCCCCCCAACCUCCCGGGGGGCGAGAAAUUCUUUGAAAGAAUCGAGGAGGAGGUGCGCUCGCUCAGCCCGCUCCGAGUAGGGAGCAUCCUCCCUCCCUCCGGGGAGGAUCGGGGUGAGGACUCCCGGGGGGAGAGGCCGACAGGCGCUGCCCGCAGCCAGGGAAGCCAGCGAAGCGCCGGAAAGGACCGAGGGCUGAAAACCCCUUGAAACGAGCCCAGCCCCUCCUCCGGUCGUUUGAGAAAGGCCUCUUUGAUUCGCCCCCGCCGCUUGGACUGAAGCCCUGAACCGCUAUUUCCUGAUUCAACACCACCCUGGUUUGCAAGCUCCGAGGUCCAAGUGGUGGUGGCAACCCCUGAAAUCCAGUAUCCAUAUUCCUCAUCUGAAAGGUGCCUGCAGAGCCGGACCGGGAAAGAGGGCGGUGGGCAGAUGAAAUCUGAGCCUCAGAACCUGAAGAAGGAAUGGGAGCGAAGGUGAAGUCGAGUUGUUACCCAAGAAAAAGAAGGCAUUCAGGUUUUGACAUUGAAAACAGGAUCUUUGUAACAGCUUUAUUCAGAUGUAAUUCACAUACCCUAUAAUGUACCCAUUAAAGUGUAC